Molecule: ribosomal RNA, 274 nt
Filed under: uncultured bacterium
Lineage: Bacteria
Description: partial 16S ribosomal RNA
Rfam family: Bacterial small subunit ribosomal RNA
Source: RNAcentral
CUACGGGGGGUGCAAGCGUUGUCCGGAAUCACUGGGCGUAAAGGGUGGGUAGGCGGAUCGGUAAGUCCGGCGUGCAAGGUGUCUGCUUAACAGGCAAUUUGCGUCGGAUACUGCCAAUCUUGAGUCACGUAGAGGAAGGUGGAAUUCCUGGUGUAGCGGUGAAAUGUGUAGAUAUCAGGAAGAACACCGGUAGCGAAGGCGGCCUUCUGGACGUCGACUGACGCUGAGCCACGAAAGCGUGGGGAGCAAACAGGAUUAGAAACCCGAGUAGUCC